This 446-nucleotide ribosomal RNA is filed under the name uncultured bacterium. Its description in RNAcentral is "partial 16S ribosomal RNA". It matches the Rfam family "Bacterial small subunit ribosomal RNA", at positions 338 to 795 of the family's 1533-position model. The record is from RNAcentral.
CCUACGGGUGGCAGCAGUCGAGAAUCAUUCACAAUGGGGGAAACCCUGAUGGUGCGACGCCGCGUGGGGGAAUGAAUGUCUUCGGAUUGUAAACCUCUGUUAUGUGGGAGCAAAUUAAAAAGAUAGUACCACAUGAGGAAGAGACGGCUAACUCUGUGCCAGUAGCCGCGGUAAUACAGAGGUCUCAAGCGUUGUUCGGAAUCACUGGGCGUAAAGCGUGCGUAGACUGUUUCGUAAGUCGUGUGUGAAAGGCGCGGGCUCAACCCGCGGAGGGCACAUGAUACUGGGAGACUAGAGUAAUGGAGGGGGAACCGGAAUUCGCGGUGUAGCAGUGAAAUGCGUAGAUAUCGAGAGGAACACUCAUGGCGAAGGCGGGUUCCUAGACAUUAACUGACGCUGAGGCACGAAGGCCAGGGGAGCGAAAGGGAUUAGAUACCCUUGUAGUC